This 484-nucleotide ribosomal RNA is filed under the name uncultured bacterium. RNAcentral's name for it is "partial 16S ribosomal RNA". It matches the Rfam family "Bacterial small subunit ribosomal RNA", at positions 30 to 507 of the family's 1533-position model. The record is from RNAcentral.
AUUGAACGCUGGCGGCAGGCCUAACACAUGCAAGUCGAGCGGAUGAAGGGAGCUUGCUCCUGGAUUCAGCGGCGGACGGGUGAGUAAUGCCUAGGAAUCUGCCUGGUAGUGGGGGAUAACGUCCGGAAACGGGCGCUAAUACCGCAUACGUCCUGAGGGAGAAAGUGGGGGAUCUUCGGACCUCACGCUAUCAGAUGAGCCUAGGUCGGAUUAGCUAGUUGGUGGGGUAAAGGCCUACCAAGGCGACGAUCCGUAACUGGUCUGAGAGGAUGAUCAGUCACACUGGAACUGAGACACGGUCCAGACUCCUACGGGAGGCAGCAGUGGGGAAUAUUGGACAAUGGGCGAAAGCCUGAUCCAGCCAUGCCGCGUGUGUGAAGAAGGUCUUCGGAUUGUAAAGCACUUUUGGUGGGGAGGAAGAGCAGUAAGUUAAUACCUUGCUGUUUUGACGGUACCAACAGAAUAAGCACCGGCUAACUUCGUG